This 106-nucleotide small nuclear RNA is filed under the name Cervus elaphus hippelaphus. RNAcentral also lists the same sequence under 1 other name. Lineage: Eukaryota; Metazoa; Chordata; Mammalia; Artiodactyla; Cervidae. The record is from RNAcentral.
GUGCUCACUUCAGCAGCACAUGUACUAAAAUUGUAGGAAAAGAGAGAUUAGCAAGGCCUCCCUGCACAAGGAUGCCAAGCAAAUUGGUAAAGCAUUCCAUAAUUUU